This 657-nucleotide long non-coding RNA is filed under the name Glycine max (soybean). RNAcentral describes it as "long non-coding RNA (GMAX_LNC004378)". Lineage: Eukaryota; Viridiplantae; Streptophyta; Magnoliopsida; Fabales; Fabaceae. The record is from RNAcentral.
UGUUUUAAGUUAUUGUAAAGUCAAUGUUAGAGUCCUUUGGAUUAAAAAAACACUGACCAUUCACACAAAUUAAAGUCUGAUUUUUAGUGUGAAAAAUUGUAUAUGUAUAAUUAUGAUUAGCUGUUGUCUGAGGACUUUGUCGUUCAAAUUUUCUUUCUGCAAUGUUCUUAAAACUAUGUGUUAUCACGUUUCAGAUGAGGAGUCUGCUAUUGAUGCUGACCAGAGUCUGAUGGGGAGAUUGGAUCGCUCUUGGAGUUGAACAUGCAGGCGAGGUUGGAUGCUCAGCAACAGUAUCUUGAGGGCUUGUCUCAGGGUUUUGAUGAUCAUGCUAAGCAGAUGCUAACUAUAUUGCAGCAGCUCCAGGCUCCAGAACCACUUCGGGUUUCCCCUUCCUUCCUAGAGCUAGUUGAUUCAUCUUUGGAAAAAUUUCCUUAUGUUUAUUUUGCUGUUUUUUUUUUCUUUGCUUUAUGUUGUUUCUUGUUUCCUUUUGUCAUCUUAGUCUCCUUUGUCUUUUAUUUUCAUUUUAGCAUUGGGUUUGCAUGUCUUAAGACUCGAUGAAAAAUUAUCUGGUUAUUAAGUAUCUAUAUCUUAUUAUGGGGAGAAGCCUAGAUUAUUUACAUGCAGAAAACGGUUUCUGGGUGCAGGUUUUGUGCCGAA